Molecule: ribosomal RNA, 463 nt
Filed under: uncultured bacterium
Lineage: Bacteria
Description: partial 16S ribosomal RNA
Rfam family: Bacterial small subunit ribosomal RNA
Source: RNAcentral
GACGAACGCUGGCGGCGUGCUUAACACAUGCAAGUCGAACGGAGAGGCCUUUUCGGAGGUACUCGAGUGGCGAACGGGUGAGUAACACGUGGGUGAUCUGCCCUGCACUCUGGGAUAAGCCUGGGAAACUGGGUCUAAUACCGGAUAGGACCGCACUUUAGAGUGUGUGGUGGAAAGUUUUUUCGGUGUAGGAUGAGCCCGCGGCCUAUCAGCUUGUUGGUGGGGUAAUGGCCUACCAAGGCGGCGACGGGUAGCCGGACUGAGAGGUUGGUCGGCCACAUUGGGUCUGAGAUACGGCCCAGACUCCUACGGGAGGCAGCAGUGGGGAAUAUUGCACAAUGGGCGCAAGCCUGAUGCAGCGACGCCGCGUGGGGGAUGACGGCCUUCGGGUUGUAAACUCCUUUCGCCAGGGACGAAGCGUUUUGUGACGGUACCUGGAGAAGAAGCACCGGCUAACUACGUG